This 253-nucleotide ribosomal RNA is filed under the name uncultured bacterium. RNAcentral's name for it is "partial 16S ribosomal RNA". It matches the Rfam family "Bacterial small subunit ribosomal RNA", at positions 524 to 776 of the family's 1533-position model. The record is from RNAcentral.
UACGUAGGAGGCGAGCGUUGUCCGGAGUUACUGGGCGUAAAGGGUGCGCAGGCGGCGGGGUAAGUCUGGUGUGAAAUCUCGGGGCCCAACCCCGAAACUGCACUGGAUACUGCCUUGCUCGAGUACUGGAGAGGAGAUUGGAAUUUACGGUGUAGCAGUGAAAUGCGUAGAUAUCGUAAGGAAGACCAGUGGCGAAGGCGAAUCUCUGGACAGUUACUGACACUGAGGCACGAAGGCCAGGGGAGCAAACGGG